GUAAACAAUUACUUGUGUUAUUUACUGCACUUACUUUUAAGUUUUGCAUAAUUCUUGUCUGCGCAGAAUUGGAUGUCAUAACAACCCUUGUGACAUCGAAAGUCUGAUAACUAGAAUUUCAAAAAGCACUUUGGAAUUUUGCUUAUUUUCUUAAAAAAAUAUUAUUUUCGAAAAAACUGAGAGCAUUUUAAAGAGAUCCUCUUAAAUACAAAUUGAUAACAAUCAAUUUCUCUAAAUACGAUAAAUAAA
RNAcentral lists this long non-coding RNA (249 nucleotides) under Lathyrus oleraceus (garden pea). RNAcentral's name for it is "Pisum sativum (pea) long non-coding RNA (PSAT_LNC007819)". The record is from RNAcentral. Lineage: Eukaryota; Viridiplantae; Streptophyta; Magnoliopsida; Fabales; Fabaceae.